CAGCCGCCGCGGUAAUACGUAGGGCGCAAGCGUUGUCCGGAAUUAUUGGGCGUAAAGAGCUCGUAGGCGGCUUGUCACGUCGGGUGUGAAAGCCCGGGGCCUAACCCCGGGCCUGCAUUCGAUACGGGCUAGCUAGAGUGUGGUAGGGGAGAUCGGAAUUCCUGGUGUAGCGGUGAAAUGCGCAGAUAUCAGGAGGAACACCGGUGGCGAAGGCGGAUCUCUGGGCCAUUACUGACGCUGAGGAGCGAAAGCGUGGGGAGCGAACAGGAUUAGAUACCCUGGUAGUCCACGCCGUAAACGGUGGGCACUAGGUGUUGGCGACAUUCCACGUCGUCGGUGCCGCAGCUAACGCAUUAAGUGCCCCGCCUGGGGAGUACGGCCGCAAGGCUAAAACUCAAAUGAAUUGACGG
This 410-nucleotide ribosomal RNA is filed under the name uncultured soil bacterium. RNAcentral's name for it is "bacterial SSU rRNA". It matches the Rfam family "Bacterial small subunit ribosomal RNA", at positions 509 to 916 of the family's 1533-position model. The record is from RNAcentral.